AGAGCACAUGAGUGGGGGAGUGGCAGAGAGAGGAGGAGAGAGAGAAUCUGAAGCAGGCUUUGCCCUGUCAAUGCAGAGUCCAAUGUGAGGCUUGAUCCCAUGAACCGUGAGAUCAUGACCCGAGCCAAUAUCAAGAGUCAGAUGGCCAACCGAAUGAGCCACCCAGGUGCCCCCAGACACACUUUUAUUCAACAAACUUCUGUGGGGUGCCCACUGCAUUCUUUGCACUACCUGACUAGGCACUGGGUCUAUGGGGUGAGAGAGCCAAUCUCUGUUCUUAAGCUGGGGAGAUGGACAAGAAGGUCAAUGCUAACAAAAGAGUGGAAUUAGUAGUAUAUAGGGCAGCAUGGAUCCCAGCCUUAAAGAUCAGGGAAUGUGAUGUUUGAAUCCAAUAGUAUUGCUGAUCAUCAAACAAACGUAGGCGGUGUUGAGGGAAGAUAGGAAGGAUGUCCUAAUCAAAGGGAAUGGCACACGCACACACAGAACGUCUGAAGUGCUGACAAGUUGGGGUUUGUUGCAGAGGAUGGCAGCCGUAAGUGUAGAAGCUCGACCACAGUAGGAUCUUGUCUCUGCAGCUGAAGAUUUCAAACUUCAUCUGGGAGCGACAGGAAGCCGCUGACACACAAAAUAGUAUGCUCGCCUUCUGGAGCGCAGAAAAGGCAAUUUCCACUCCGACCUCGGUGGAAAGACAAUUGGUAGGAAGCACAGGAUGCUGGUGGUGUAUGGCCUGAGCUUGAGCCUGAGCUGUGCGGUGCCACAUCCCCAGAUACGUCGGUACGUGUCUUACUUACCGAUAGAGGAGGCCUGAUGGGGUCGAUUUGCCUGGGAACUUAGCCAACUCCCGAGAGAGAGAAUUCACUCUAAGAGAAGGUGAGUUUGGUAUCACACGUUAGUGGUAGAAGGGAAGAAGUGAGUCCGAGAUAACAGGAUGCCUCUUACUUCUGCGUAGUCCCUGGCCGAACUUCCCCCAGAACUCCUGUCUGGGAAGACCGUGGCAUGAGAGCAAGGAAGUGCUCCUGUGGUAUUCCUCAACAGGGUGGAACACACAGAAAGAGACACGCUUCCUCACUGCCCCUCCUCAUUUUGCUCCAGAAGCCAGUCUAACUCAUGGUCAAAAUCUGCGGCACCCAGCCGAGGUGGCUGCAGAGGAAGGGCAUCUUGGAGGCACAAGAUAAGGCAAGCCACGGUGAUGCCUGGGAGAGGCAUUCGUCCAUAUCGGAAGUGGCAGGCACGUCUUCCGUUUGAGUUCGUAGUCAGUGGGAGUGGCAUGUAAGUGGACUCAGUGACAUGUAAGGGGAGUGCUGUAGCAUCUAGCGGAAGAGGGGCAGAAUAGGAGAAGAAGGAGAAAAUGUUAGCUGGCUGGCUUUUCGUUAGCGCUAAAGGGGUACCCCCAUGAGGACACAGGUAAAAUUGGCCUGAGGUGUGGGGGCCCCCUUGUCUCUUUACAGUGACAAAUGAGGGCGAGAACCAGCAAAAUGCGAACUGAAGAGACUAGGCCGGAACCACUUUCUCCCAGAUAAGCUGCUCAAAUUCCCAGAAUAUGAGUCCCUGGCGACUUUACAUCGCUUACUGUAAAAGUGUAAGAGGUUAGGUUACUCCCCAGGCUCUAGAACAAGAGCCCAAUGGCUCCCAGAGAUAGUACAUCCCUCAUCCAAAAGGAAACCUGGCCGGUAGUUUGCCUCCAGCUAAUCUUCCACAUUUCUGCAAACUAGGCGCUUCGGUUUUAUCGUUGCCUUUACAGAGAGCGGAGUCGGAUUUUCAUGAUUCUUCACGACCUUGUUCUCUCUGCUGUAACAGCCACGGCGAGAGCCAAAACGGACUCGUUCACAGAGAACAAGCAAUUUUGUCUGAUCCUCGUUCUUCGUGUUGAAAUUGCAAUUGUGUUAGUGUGACUGACAGGUUCUCCAAAGAGAUUCAGUGAAAUCCUCCGUCAGGUUCACCAGGAAACAGAAGGUUUUGAGUAGGCGUGUCUGGCUGGUCUCCCCAAAGGGCUCAGUAACAACACAUCAAAAGACUGCUGAAUUCUUAUUUCCCAUCAGAAAAAUAUCAAAGCCAAUCUGAAAUCUGGGAGUGUUUGGAGGGCAGAUGGUAUUAGCCUAGUAGUAAACACAUUUUUGGCUGCUUCUUUUUUUCUCCCUGGUUGCUAUGUUUAAUGUGCUGAGAGAAAGCUGUUUGCUUGCAGAAUCUUAUUAUAGAGCAGAAAUAUACUUGUUCCAGAGAAGAGGAAUUUAAUUGGUUCCAAGUCAAAUGAUGUUAACAGGUGUCGCCUCACCAACCCAGGACUUAAAAUGGGUUAUUAUAAAAAGGACGAAUACCUAGUUGUCUGGCUCUCGCUCCCGCCUGUUAUGUAAGACUGCCUGCCCCUGUAAUGUUCCUCCUGAUUAUUUCCAGCAACUUGAGGAGGUGGCUCAUAUGUACCCAUGCACAAGUCCUGUUGGCUACCGCAGCGCCUGCAAUUUUCCUGCUCUUUCGGCUUGAGCUGCUCUCCGCUAUUAUUUGCUACUGAGGCCUGCACCACUUAAUGCAAACUGCAGGUUAAGCCUCCGUUGGUAUUGCUGCUUCGGCCAGGCUCUGUGACACUGGAAGGAAGGAACACUGCUGGUUCCCCGGAGGUGCCGAGAUCUGAAGAUCUCUAGAUCUUUAGGCAUUUGAAUACGUGCCAGCCUCAAACCUUUGAAGGUUGUUCCUCUGAGAUGUUUCAUCAGUGACAUCACAGUGCUUGCCACCUCCCUCAGACUACAUUAGGUCCUGCCCAGAGUCCGGGACUCCAGAGAGCCUGGGAGACGAGCGGGAGUUGGAGCCCAAGUUGGAGAAAGAGAAGAAGCCUAUCCCAGCCACUUGUGUCCUUGACCCUCCUCAGGUGACAGCAGGAUUUUUAUACUUAGCAUAGUGUGUGUGUGUGUGUGUGUGUGUGUGUGUACAAGUUGCAAAUGAGAAGCACAGAGGCAUGUUUACAUUUCUUAAUGAAACAGGCAAUACCUAUUAGACAUAGUAUUUUUUAAGAUGUAGAAAGUAUUAUUUAUCCUUGCUUUCCUUUUUUUCCCUCUCCUGGUAUGUGUUUUCUCCCUUUCUAAUUCUCAAAGCCUCCAUUCAAAGAAAGUCAGUGUCAGUUUAUUCAGAGCUUUUCUGGUUUUUAUUUCACCCAUAUGGCAAUCACUUUGGAUCAUAUGGUGCGAUCUUGACUCCUGGGAAGACUUACGAGGCCAAAAUUGUCUUUGUGGGUAACAGCAGAAAAAUGGAAGGUUGCUAAUCUCAAUUUCUGCCUAACUUUGGUAUAAAUGUGUGUGAAAGUCAAGUGCGCUUCUUAUUAUUAGCAUAUGUGUUGAUUAAAUUGGGUUCAUUAGAAAUUCUCGGCUUAACUCUUUGUGCUUUAUUCAUUUAAAUACAAAUACUUAAGUUCACCAUCAAAGUGCAAAAAAUAGUAAGAGGUAAACUGUAGGAAAUAAAGAAGUAUACGAGGUGGCCCAUCAAUUCAGAGACUACUGAGAAAAAAAUGUAAAGAAUCAUUAAGCAUAAUUUGAACAAUAAUUAUAAAGCGACACCUAUAUACUGUCACCCAGGUCAAGAAAGAGAUCAUUGCUGACAGCCCAGAAAUCCAUUCCUGAUCAUCUCUCCCUUAUGCCCUCUACCAUAGGUAAUCACCACCUUGAUUGCUGAGAUCAUCUUGUUCAUGCUUUUCUUUAUAAUUUUACCAUCGAUCUCAACAUUCUUUUUUUUUAAAGCAGUUUUUUUUUAACGUUUAUUUAUUAUUGAGAGACAGAGAGACAGAGUGUGAGCAGGGGAGGGGCAGAGAAAAGGA
This is a long non-coding RNA of Neofelis nebulosa (Clouded leopard), 3799 nucleotides long. RefSeq lists it as uncharacterized. The transcript has 3 exons. Lineage: Eukaryota; Metazoa; Chordata; Mammalia; Carnivora; Felidae. The record is from RefSeq and is a predicted model, not a curated record.